This 1416-nucleotide long non-coding RNA is filed under the name Mus spicilegus (steppe mouse). Its description in RNAcentral is "lncRNA (ENSMSIG00000001769.1)". Lineage: Eukaryota; Metazoa; Chordata; Mammalia; Rodentia; Muridae. The record is from RNAcentral.
GAAGGUGGAACCUUAUGGAAGGUGAUUAGGUCACAGGAAUAGAGCCCUCCUGAAGGGCUUCUGUCCUCUUUCAGGGGACCAAAAUGCAGCUGCCUUGUUCCUUCCAUGUGAGACAAAGCAAGAAGUGAAUCACAGGCUUUUUGGACAGGGAGAGGGAGAGGGCAAGAUGUAGCUAUUAGUGUCUUCCAUUUAUAUGGUCCUAAAACCCACUUCACUCCAGAGGUCCUAUGCAUUACCCUUCAAGGAAGGAAUGUUGAAGAGGAGGUCCGCAUAGCUUUCCCCAGCCAGUCGACAUUUGGCAUAGCGGUAGAAAGCCGGCCAAUCCAGUGAUGCAUCCAGAGAGGACAAAGAGGGACACCCCCUCUUCUCCACAUCUCACAGUGUAAACGUCUUUCCUGAUGGGUUUUUAUAACCAUAUAUCCUUCAUAAUAAACCAGUUCAGCUCCGUAGGCCCUGUUACAACAAAGGCUGCUCCCACAACAGAAAGUACAAGUAGGUGGUCAACUUCAGUGGCAGCUAGCUGUACAGUACCAUCUCAGCGGGCACACAAGAUAAACAAGUCUUCAGGGCAUGGCUACCUUCACCUGAAUGCCAAAGAAUGGCCAAGGGUGUCUCAGGACCCAGAAAGGAAACAGUGAAGGUGUAGACUUAGAGUCACACAGCCCACUCAGAUCAUGUCCAGUGGAGCCAUGGGCUCCAUGAGACCUCAGGACAGAAGGGCCAUUAGCAUAUCAUCCCACUGUGAAAGCUACAGGCAUACAAUAUCAACAGAGCCACAAAAAUCAACCCUGGGCGCAAGCCCACCAACCAAGAAGCUCUAGAAGGUGUGACCUCUACUCUGGUGAUCCCAAGAGGCAGAGCCUUGAGACAAAGAUUGUUUUCCAGGUGAAAGACUUUGGACCUUCUGAGAAUGCUUGACUCCUGCCUUCUUGUCUGCUUCUCCCUUUGGACUGGGAAUGCCCAGCUCUUGACUGUCCUGUAAGUGUAGUCAGGACACCUAUAAAAUGUCUGGUUCCAUGGGUUCACAGCUGGAAAGCAAUGCACCCCAGGAUAAACAGCACCUCGUACUGUCAUCCAUGGCUGAUUAAGUGAUACUGAGAAAAGACCUCGGAUGGCUGGAAUGUGGGUCUGGAGUGCCUGUCACUGGACUGUUGCAAUCCUAACCUCAAGUGGACGAUAGGAGGAAUAAUGGGUCUCUUCUGGGAAGUGACGGAGAGUAGAAACAUCAUCCAUGAGAUCAGUAGAUGAUCAAAGGCCUGGAGUUGCUUGGUCACUUCCACUGUGUGCAGACACAGUGCAAAAGGAACUGUUUGUACACCAUGAAUUAACUUCUCACCAGCCAUGGAAUCUGACAGCACUGUGAUUUGACAUCCCAGCUGACAAAUCGAUCAGAAAUAAAUUCCCAUUUCUAAGCCA